Molecule: small RNA, 59 nt
Filed under: Asticcacaulis sp. YBE204
Lineage: Bacteria; Pseudomonadati; Pseudomonadota; Alphaproteobacteria; Caulobacterales; Caulobacteraceae
Description: Caulobacter sRNA CC0196
Rfam family: Caulobacter sRNA CC0196
Source: Rfam by way of RNAcentral
UUUUUGAAGACACCCACCAUCACCAAACUUUCAAGGCCCGGGCAUCUGUUCGGGCUUUU